This is a long non-coding RNA of Gadus morhua (Atlantic cod), 348 nucleotides long. RefSeq lists it as uncharacterized. The transcript is spliced from 3 exons. NCBI's taxonomy places the organism in Eukaryota, Metazoa, Chordata, Actinopteri, Gadiformes, Gadidae. The record is from RefSeq and is a predicted model, not a curated record.
CGUGCUUCGAAUUGAAACAGUGCUCGGGCAACGACUGAUGACGUUUCACGAGUCCACGAGCACACGAGCACGCACAAGUACGCGAAUUGAGAAACGGCUUUCGUUUCCCUGAUUUCAAGGAUACACCCGUAUCCUUCACGGCCCAAUGUUUCCAAUGAUUCAUUUCGCAUCGGAUUUCAUUACAGAUGGCGGCGGCAACUUUUACAUUUAAAUGGAGCCAGGAGCAAACUGCUGCAUUCAUUAAAUUGAGGGGGGAGAAGGAUGCGCUUUUCACCGGGGUCAAAUACUCUGCAAGUGUGGCUUGGGGGAUUGCAAGUUUCCAGGGUCAGGAGAGGGAGUAGGUGGGAA